ACUCGACCCCAUGAAGUCGGAAUCGCUAGUAAUCGCGUAACAGCAUGACGCGGUGAAUACGUUCCCGGGCUUUGUACACACCGCCCGUCACACCAUGGGAAUUGGGUUUACCCGACGGCCGUGCGCUAACCUAGCAAUAGGAGGCAGCGGACCACGGUAGGCUCAGUGACUGGGGUGAAGUCGUAACAAGGUAGCCGUA
This 199-nucleotide ribosomal RNA is filed under the name uncultured Paracoccus sp. RNAcentral's name for it is "partial 16S ribosomal RNA". It matches the Rfam family "Bacterial small subunit ribosomal RNA", at positions 1310 to 1504 of the family's 1533-position model. Lineage: Bacteria; Pseudomonadati; Pseudomonadota; Alphaproteobacteria; Rhodobacterales; Paracoccaceae. The record is from RNAcentral.